ACAUACUCCAGAGCCUAAUUCAUUAUAUUUUAAUAAAUAAAAUUACUACCAAAUCCGAAAAAAAUAAAAUUUACAAUUUUAAGUUUUUAAAUGUAACCCAUCUCUUCUUUUAAAAGCUGCACCUUGAUUUGAUCUAAAAUAAAAUUUUAUAAAAAGAAAAUUUAACUUCUUAAGAAAUAUUCAUUACAACAACGAUAUACAAACAAUUAUAAAAGUAAAGUAAAUUGUGAAUUAUCAAUUACAGGACAGGUUCCUCUGGUAGGUUAAAGUACCGCCAAGACAUUUAAUUUUCAAGAACUUAACUAGUACUAAUCCGGUUUACACGUCAACAAUUUGAAUAACAGGGUAUCUAAUCCUGGUUUCUAAACAAAACUUUUUUAGAUCAUUUAAUUAUAAAAAUCAACUUUUAUAUUAAAAUUUCACCUCUCAAUAUAAAUCUUUAAAAUAUUAAAAUAAUUAACUAACAACCAUUAAAAUUAAGUAACUCUUUUUGUAUAACCGCA
This 503-nucleotide ribosomal RNA is filed under the name Cryptocephalus pominorum. RNAcentral's name for it is "partial 12S ribosomal RNA". The record is from RNAcentral. Lineage: Eukaryota; Metazoa; Arthropoda; Insecta; Coleoptera; Chrysomelidae.